CAAGUAGGUGGUUUGAUAAGUGAGGGGUGAAAUCUUCCGACUCAAUCGGAAAAUGGCCUUUCAAACUGUCAGACUUGAGGUAGGAAGAGGAAAGUGGAAUUCUCGGUGUAAGGGUGAAAUCUGUGGAUAUCGAGAAGAACACCAGCGGCGAAGGCGACUUUCUGGUCCUAUCCUGACACUGAAUUGCGAAAGCUAGGGGAGCAAACAGGAUUAGAUACCCUGGUAGUCC
RNAcentral lists this ribosomal RNA (229 nucleotides) under uncultured bacterium. RNAcentral describes it as "partial 16S ribosomal RNA". It matches the Rfam family "Bacterial small subunit ribosomal RNA", at positions 568 to 796 of the family's 1533-position model. The record is from RNAcentral.